AGAGUUUGAUCCUGGCUCAGGAUAAACGCUGGCGGCGUGCCUAACACAUGCAAGUCGAACGCCCUUCGCAAGAAGGGAGUGGCGGACGGGUGAGGAACACGUGGGUAUCUGCCUUGAGGUGAGGAAUACCAGCGAGAAAUCGCUGACAAUACCGCAUACGUUUGGACAUCCAAACAAAGUCGUAAGACGCCACAAGAUGA
RNAcentral lists this ribosomal RNA (200 nucleotides) under uncultured bacterium. RNAcentral describes it as "partial 16S ribosomal RNA". It matches the Rfam family "Bacterial small subunit ribosomal RNA", at positions 8 to 228 of the family's 1533-position model. The record is from RNAcentral.